UACGUAGGGGGCUAGCGUUGUCCGGAAUCAUUGGGCGUAAAGCGCGCGUAGGCGGCCCGGUAAGUCCGCUGUGAAAGUCAAAGGCUCAACCUUUGAAUGUCAGCGGAUACUGCCGGGCUAGAGUCCGGAAGAGGCAAGUGGAAUUCCUGGUGUAGCGGUGGAAUGCGCAGAUAUCAGGAGGAACACCUAUAGCGAAGGCAGCUUGCUGGGACGUUACUGACGCUAAGGCGCGAAAGCGUGGGGAGCGAACAGG
RNAcentral lists this ribosomal RNA (253 nucleotides) under uncultured bacterium. RNAcentral describes it as "partial 16S ribosomal RNA". It matches the Rfam family "Bacterial small subunit ribosomal RNA", at positions 524 to 776 of the family's 1533-position model. The record is from RNAcentral.